RNAcentral lists this long non-coding RNA (754 nucleotides) under Mus musculus (house mouse). RNAcentral's name for it is "long non-coding RNA chr4:6069873-6070627". Lineage: Eukaryota; Metazoa; Chordata; Mammalia; Rodentia; Muridae. The record is from RNAcentral.
GAGGAUAGUACUUAUGAGAAAUCUCUGGAAGUCAAUGUGAGUGAGAGGUAUGUCUCCAGUAUGACCUAAUGUCUAAUAUCAACAGCCUGUUCUGCUUAGCACAUGUCAUGCAAUUGGAGUAUGACCAUAAGCUACCGCCAGUGCCCCUAAAACAUAGCAGAACUGAGUAACUUGGGAGAGCUUAACUCUUUCAGUAACUAAGUGGAGGAGCAACCCACACAGGUGAGCAGCCUUCAAAAAUUCAAGCACCUGAACCUUGGCAUGAACAGACUGAAUGUUGGCCACAGGAUUUGGCUCUCUCUCAGUUUUUGAGGCACUAGAAUUAUCUUAAAACAAUAUGAAUGAAUAUUCUUUCCCCCAGAAACUUCUACUAUAUGACUCUGUGUAUACUCUGCCUAAGCCACUUUCUUGAAGUAAAGCUGAAGGUACACAGCUGUAGGGAUAAGUACUUGAUCUCACUGAAAAGGGAAACUAGAUAGCUAACCCCAGCUCAAGGAGCUCCACCUUCAAGGGAACUGCCUGCUCUCCAGCUUCCAAGGCUAAAAACUUGGAUUUAACUGGUCAGGACCAUAUCUUCAGAUAAGACAACCCUUGAGAUACACCAAGCUCUGAUCAUCUCUAGCUUUGUCUUGCCCAUGUUUCUAAAUAUACCUAUUUUAAAUCCUACAAUAGCCUCUGUGGAAAACACAUGAGGGCAAAGCCAGCAUCCUCAGAAAAGAAUAACAGCAAAUGAGCAAUUAGCCCCAAACCCUAA